AUUGAACGCUGGCGGCAUGCCUUACACAUGCAAGUCGAACGGCAGCACGGGAGCAAUCCUGGUGGCGAGUGGCGAACGGGUGAGUAAAGUAUCGGAACGUGCCCAGUCGUGGGGGAUAACGUAGCGAAAGUUACGCUAAUACCGCAUACGAUCUAUGGAUGAAAGCGGGGGAUCGCAAGACCUUGCGCGAUUGGAGCGGCCGAUAUCAGAUUAGGUAGUUGGUGGGGUAAAGGCUCACCAAGCCGACGAUCUGUAGCUGGUCUGAGAGGACGACCAGCCACACUGGGACUGAGACACGGCCCAGACUCCUACGGGAGGCAGCAGUGGGGAAUUGUUCGCAAUGGGCGCAAGCCUGACGACGCAACGCCGCGUGGAGGAUGAAGAUCUUCGGGUCGUAAACUCCUUUCGAUCGAGACGAACGGCCCUUGGGCUAACACCCUGAGGGAGUGACGGUACCGAGAGAAGAAGCCCCGGCUAACUCCGUGCCAGCCGCCGCCGUAA
Molecule: ribosomal RNA, 501 nt
Filed under: uncultured bacterium
Lineage: Bacteria
Description: partial 16S ribosomal RNA
Rfam family: Bacterial small subunit ribosomal RNA
Source: RNAcentral